UCCGUAGGCGGGCAGCUCAGUCAGUGGUGAAAGUUUGCAGCUCAACUGUAAAAUUGCCAUUGAUACUGGUUGUCUUGAAUUAAUGUGAAGUGGUUAGAAUAUGUAGUGUAGCGGUGAAAUGCAUAGAUAUUACAUGGAAUACCAAUUGCGAAGGCAGAUCACUAACAUUAUAUUGACGCUGAUGGACGAAAGCGUGGGGAGCGAACAGGAUUAGAUACCUGGUAGUCC
This 228-nucleotide ribosomal RNA is filed under the name uncultured bacterium. RNAcentral's name for it is "partial 16S ribosomal RNA". It matches the Rfam family "Bacterial small subunit ribosomal RNA", at positions 568 to 796 of the family's 1533-position model. The record is from RNAcentral.